This 475-nucleotide ribosomal RNA is filed under the name uncultured bacterium. Its description in RNAcentral is "SSU rRNA". It matches the Rfam family "Bacterial small subunit ribosomal RNA", at positions 26 to 518 of the family's 1533-position model. The record is from RNAcentral.
AGGACGAACGCUGGCGGCGUGCUUAACACAUGCAAGUCGAGCGGAAAGGCCCUUCGGGGUACUCGAGCGGCGAACGGGUGAGUAACACGUGAGCAACCUGCCCUUAGCUCCGGGAUAGCUCCGGGAAACCGGAAUUAAUACCGGAUAUGACCUAGGCCGACAUCGGCCGUGGGUGGAAAGUUUUUCGGCUGGGGAUGGACUCGCGGCCUAUCAGCUUGUUGGUGGGGUAAUGGCCUACCAAGGCGACGACGGGUAGCCGGCCUGAGAGGGCGACCGGCCACACUGGGACUGAGACACGGCCCAGACUCCUACGGGAGGCAGCAGUGGGGAAUCUUGCGCAAUGGGCGAAAGCCUGACGCAGCGACGCCGCGUGGGGGAUGAAGGCCUUCGGGUUGUAAACCCCUUUCAGCAGGGACGAAGCGAAAGUGACGGUACCUGCAGAAGAAGCGCCGGCUAACUACGUGCCAGCAGCCGC